GAUGAACGCUGGCGGCAUGCCUAAGACAUGCAAGUCGAACGAGACGACCUUUGGAAGACUGAGUACUUGUACAAAGUUAGAAGAAGAUCAUCGUCUAGUGGCAGACGGGUGAGUAACACGUGGGUAACCUACCUUCAAGCUGGGGAUAACGUUUGGAAACGAACGCUAAUACCGAAUAAGAUAUAUAGCAAUAUAUAUUGAAAGAAGCCUCUAAAGCUUCACUUAAAGAUGGGCCUGCGGCGUAUUAACUAGUUGGUGAGGUAAUGGCUCACCAAGGUAACGAUGCGUAGCCGAACUGAGAGGUUGAACGGCACAUUGGGACUGAGACACGGCCCAGACUCCUACGGGAGGCAGCAGUGGGGAAUAUUGCACAAUGGGGGAAACCCUGAUGCAGCGACGCCGCGUGAGCGAUGAAGGUUUUCGGAUCGUAAAGCUCUGUCUUCAGGGACGAUAAUGACGGUACCUGAGGAGGAAGCCAC
Molecule: ribosomal RNA, 479 nt
Filed under: uncultured bacterium
Lineage: Bacteria
Description: bacterial SSU rRNA
Rfam family: Bacterial small subunit ribosomal RNA
Source: RNAcentral